This is a long non-coding RNA of Cygnus atratus (black swan), 1141 nucleotides long. RefSeq lists it as uncharacterized. The transcript is spliced from 3 exons. Lineage: Eukaryota; Metazoa; Chordata; Aves; Anseriformes; Anatidae. The record is from RefSeq and is a predicted model, not a curated record.
UGCCCGGCGCCCUCCGGGCCGAGGGAGGCGGCCUCUGAGCCCCCGGACCCCCUGGGAAACCUUCCUGCCUCCUGGGGGGCUCUGGGGAGACGGAGGGGUCCGCCAGCCUCGGGUGGCAGAGCCAGCGAGCCCUCCAAAGGGCGUUGUGUCCCCUAUUUCCUGCCGCCAAGGCCUAGGAUCCUCCAGCAGAAGCCGCGUCACGUGGAAAAAUCUCAUUAACCUCCCUCUCCGCUGCCAGCCCCAUCGGGCAGUCGCACGCAGGUGUAAACCUUGGCAGGAUCCGGCUCUCCUUGAAGUGCUUUGUCGCACCGAUACGGCAAAAGUGUUACCUGCUUGCGAGAGGUCGGGUUGUGUUUCCUGUGGGAACCAAGGUUUUCCUGUCUCUUCUGCUCUAACCACAAAAUUACAUAUACAUGGCUCUAAGUAAUAUGAAUAAUUAGAAGAAGAAAAGAUGCCUACUGCAGAAGCAUAAAGAAGUGUGCCAUAAGAUUAGCUGAAGCCAUUCGUAUAUAUCACCUGACUGUGACCACAAAGAAGGAAGGGCACCCUACCUACCACCGGCUGCAGAUGCGAGACCGAUGACUGUUCAUUAAGGUUGCCCAGAUCCACAUUUCAGAUGUUAACAUUCAGCAGUGAUGCUAUUCAAAAUAAAAGCGCAAAGACCAUCUCCACAGCAUGAAGCGCAAAAGCAUUGUGCUCUCCAGGUGGACUCCUACUUAGUAACCAAGCAACCAUAUCCUGCAUCUCUAGCUCACACACACUGAUCUCACCAGAGGAUUUUCUUUGUCAAAUUUUGCCUUGAAUCAUUUGAAGAGCUGCAGUUUAUGUCUGAAAUAUGCUGGUUACGAAAUUGUGAAUGAAUUAUUUCAGUGAAUAAACAGGUCUGCAAAUCAUGUAAUUUAUUAAUUUUGUAAUACACUUUGAAAUUUUCAGCUGGGAAUGUAUCUUCUGCAAUAAAUCGAGUAACUUUAAUUUAUAGCCUAUACACUUUUUGAUCUACAUUGAUACAGUUUUUUAAAGUAACAAGGAGAGUAUUAAUGUUAAUUGUCCCGUGGACUGUAAUAUUGCCAAACUGUGCUUUGCUUUAUCUGCAAGGAUCAUAACAUUUUAUUUGAAUAACUAAUCAAACCAAAGUCAACAG